CUAUCUAAAUUAUCUUUCAAUAAAUCACUCUACUAAAUAAUUGUUUCGUUUUUUAAAACACUCAUGUUUAAU
RNAcentral lists this transfer RNA (72 nucleotides) under Schistosoma mansoni. Lineage: Eukaryota; Metazoa; Platyhelminthes; Trematoda; Strigeidida; Schistosomatidae. The record is from RNAcentral.